GCUAGUAAUCGCGGAUCAGCAAGCCGCGGUGAAUACGUUCCCGGGCCUUGUACACACCGCCCGUCACACCAUGAGAGUCGGGAACACCCGAAGUCCGUAGUCUAACCGCAAGGGGGGCGCGGCCGAAGGUGGGUCCGGUAAUUGGGGUNAAGUCGUAACAAGGUAAC
RNAcentral lists this ribosomal RNA (167 nucleotides) under uncultured bacterium. Its description in RNAcentral is "partial 16S ribosomal RNA". It matches the Rfam family "Bacterial small subunit ribosomal RNA", at positions 1334 to 1500 of the family's 1533-position model. The record is from RNAcentral.